GACGAACGCUGGCGGCGUGCCUAACACAUGCAAGUCAGCUUGACUGAAGGAGCAAUCUGACAGUAGAGUGGCGCAAGGGUGCGUAACGCGUAAGUAACUUGCCCCAAGGUAAGGAAUAACGUCGAGAAAUCGGCGCUAAUACCUCAUAAUGCAGCGGAUCCGCAUGGAUAUGUUGUUAAAGGUUUACCGCCUUGGGAUAGGCUUGCGUCUGAUUAGCUAGUUGGUGUGGUAACGGCACACCAAGGCUACGAUCAGUAACUGGUCUGAGAGGAUGAUCAGUCACACUGGAACUGAGACACGGUCCAGACUCCUACGGGAGGCAGCAGUGAGGAAUAUUGGGCAAUGCUCGAAAGAGUGACCCAGCAACGCCGCGUGGAGGAUGAAGGUAUUCUAUAUCGUAAACUCCUGUGAGAGCAGACGAAAGACAGAUUAUUAAUCUGGAUGACUGUAUGCUCAG
This 457-nucleotide ribosomal RNA is filed under the name uncultured bacterium. RNAcentral's name for it is "bacterial SSU rRNA". It matches the Rfam family "Bacterial small subunit ribosomal RNA", at positions 28 to 484 of the family's 1533-position model. The record is from RNAcentral.